This is a long non-coding RNA of Macaca mulatta (Rhesus monkey), 4163 nucleotides long. RefSeq lists it as uncharacterized. Lineage: Eukaryota; Metazoa; Chordata; Mammalia; Primates; Cercopithecidae. The record is from RefSeq and is a predicted model, not a curated record.
AAAAAAAAAAAAAAAAAAAGCAUCAAGUUCACUUCCUAUUUUUAAACUUAUCCACUUCUCUCUUAUCUUUGCUGAUGCUUCUCUAGUACAACAGUUUCUUUAUUGGUCUUCCUGCCGGAUGGCCUGGAUUCAUCCUAGAACAUUUGACUCUCUCUGCCUCACUCAUCUUUAAAUGGGGAUCACAACAGAACCUACCUCAUAAAGUUAUUGUGAAGGUUAAAUGAGCUAACGCAGGUAGAGUGUUCAGCAUAGGAUAUAAUUAGCACUCAGUAAGGGUAACCUAUUAUUCUCCAUAAAGCUACCCAUAUCAUGUCACACCCUGGCCUAAAGCAUUAGUUAGUUUCCCACUGCCCUCUGUGUUUGUACUUCUGCACAAGGCUGUUGGUGAUAUGGCCCACUGCAGCCUUUAGACCUCCAGCCCCUUCUUUUCCUACUCUAUUCCUCUUGACUUCCAUGCUUCAGCCACCCUGAGCUUCCGGUAGUUCCUAAAGGCACUGUAAUACCCUUUUCCUGACCUUAGGAGCUUUCUCAGCCCUCUGUACAUGUUUUAUCACAAUUCUUACUGUGCUGGAAUGGCCUGUUUAUUUUUGUGAUUUCUCCUUCAGUGUGUAGGCCCCAGGAUGGCCAGAAAAAGAUCAGUCUUACUCAUCACUAAUUCCUCAGAUUUCAGCAUGGCUCCUGGCACGUUAUAGGUUCCCAAACAUUAUUUAUCGAAUAGGGGGAUGGGUAGGCACAUAGGAGGGAGGAAGAAAAUAUAACAAUUCUGUGACCCCAAAGUCCGGUACCCUUUGGACUACUCCUGCCUGCCUUCUUGCAGCUCUCUAAAGAAAGUGGAAAGUAGGGGCCAUACUCAGAGGACUGGAGAGAGUGGGGCUGGGAGAUACCUCCAUUGCUCCCUCUUCAGUCCCAUCUCCACAUUCACUAGCAUUUUCUUUCUUACAAAUCUAAGAUUUGUAACUUCGCUGCUUAAAAAUCCACAAGUCCCCCACUGCUUACAGGAAACGAGUGUACCCCUUAGAGUGGCACACAGGAACUCUCAGCCUCUUGCCCUCCCUUCUCCCCUCUGCAGCUCACAGCCCUUGGCCGUCUCCCAAGGACACACUGCUGUUUCCCGCCUAUGUGACUUUUCCAGGUCCCUCUCUCUCGGGUGAAUCUUUCCAGACCUAGCUCAGUUAUCAUCACUUCCAUGGAAGUUUCCUAAUCUCUCCGGCAUCAGUAUAUACUCUUGGCUCCCAUAGAACUCUGUAGAGCCUUUGUUAUAGCCCACCUCAAUCUGUCCCAUAUUGCUGUGUGCACUGUUUGUCUGCCCUGUUAGAAUGUAAAGUGUUCAAAGAGAACAUAUAUUCACUUUGGAGAACCCGACCUUACCACUUGUGAGCUGUGUAGAUUUCGGCAAGUUGCCUAUAUUCUCUAAGCCUUGUGUAUAAUAAUGCAUAAAAAUAUUUGUUAAGAUGAGAAGUGACCAUUUCUACCUUACAGGUUUGGUGCCUGGAAUGCUGAUGUAGACCUGGAAACUAGCCCAGAUGGAAACAAGAAUGAUGAGGCCACAGUGUCCAUGAAAGUAGGGCAAGGCAGGGUGUCCAAUGGAGCCAGAGGGAGUACCAAGAGGGAGGUCCUUGGAACACGGAGGAACCAGAAGGCCCAGGAGUAGGAAGCAGUGUUGGUGUUUGUAAGGAAGUAGAAGAGGUGGUUGGCCAGAAGACAGGCCCUGUUCGAGAUCUAACCAGCACAUCAGAGCUGGCCUCUUCCUCCCUUCUUCCUUGCAGGCCACAGCCAAGCAGCCUUAACUGACACCUCCUUGGCACCAGCACACAAACAAUGGCCCAUGGCCUGACUUCUGCCAGGAUGCCCUAGGCCCGUGCCCUUCACCUAUUCUGCACCUAUAAGAUUGGUGUUUGCCCUCUUUGAUUCUUCCAGGUGCUGCCCCACCCUGUUCUUCUCCCCAUUCUUUAAGUGCUGAGAUUGGCCAGUCCCGUGCUGAGAUGAGGGAGCCGGAGGAAGGGAGACUGACUCUCCUCACUGCUGUCCAUUGGGAUGGGAUGAACUUCACAGCUCCAGUUUCCUGUGUUCUCCUCUCAGCUGCAGAACUGGAAUGUUCAUCUCUGGUUCCAGUGUUUUCAGCCCCGCUCUCAGUCAGCCAUACCCAGAAGACAGCAAAAUUGCCUGGCUGGUUUCCCAGCCCAUCUCUGGUGACAGCUCCCAGGGUGCCUACAGUCUUUAGCCACAACACCUUCAGUGGAGGUAGGGGAGGACUAUGUCCCAGAGACAAUGGUAUGCAGUGGGGAGGUGGACACAAACAGGAGAGGUCUAGGAAGGUCACUUGGGGAUCUCCGGGAGGCUUCAUGGGGUCUGAAAGAGUAAGAGGGGGUGCUGGGGGUUGAGGUUGUCCUCUUUCAGCUGUAGGUAUGCAACAGAAAUCACCGUGUUGACUAGUCUGAGGCUCGAAACCUAAAGACACCUCCCCACUCCCCAGAGAAUUUCUUAGAAAACACCUUCCAUUCUUCUCAGGGCAGAAUAAUACCCAGUGUGACAUUUAGCCCCUUUAAGCUAAUUCUUCCAAGAAGUGCAACUCUCUAGAAUGGACAGAGCAGGCUGUCACUUGGACUUGCAGCCCUGUUGAGCAGCAAAGGGGGGUUAGUUUAGGGGACAUUCAGGGUCUCCUCAGUCCUUCUCUCUUGGAACCAUGUCCACAUUUAGGUCAAGACUUGAAGGCCUUCCCUUAUUUGCUGAUACAUGAAGAUCUUUCUCUCCAGCCUAAUGCAUCACAGGCCAGCAUCAGAAGCACAGACUUAGCCCCUGGCCCUGAGAAGAGAGAUGGGAGGAGAGGAUGGAGCAUGGGGUCCAGGCACUGCUCUGUAGCUGGGGCUCUGAGCUCUGCUCUCUAUACCCUCCUUCAGAGGAGACAGGUGGGGACUGAAGCGACUUCCCCAUCUCCCACAGGGGGGCACAGACUGACAGGCAGUCAACGACCCUUGUUUCCGGGGGCUUAUCUUCUCUCCUCCAGGCAUCUGAAGCCUUGCAGCUUCCCUGCCCCUCAUUUGGCAGCCCUCUUGUCUUAGCAGUGGGGAGAGGUGGAGGCCCUGGGAAAGAGUCUGCCUAUUCCUAGACCAGACUACGGGGCUGAGGGCAGGAGAAGGGAAGGAGGUGGGAGAGCAAAGAUUGAGAAGAAGGUCUGUCCCAGGCCAGGACUGGGUGAAGGCAUGCAGCUGGUGUGCAGCUGUCUGGGCUCUCCUCUCCAGACGCCUGCCACCCCUCUCCAAGUCCUGCAUGGUGUCCUUCCUCCUUUGGAAUGCUCUAAUGCUCUUCCUUCCCACCCUGGCAUUCAGGAUCUGGAAACCUCUCUGCAGCUCAUAUCUAAGUGUAGGACAGGCAGCAUGCCAGGAAACACCCCAGCAGAGGCCCCCUACUCUUCUUUCUAUACCCCUGCCCCCACCAGGACCCUGACUGAGGGCCCAGAAUCCUGUUUUCUCCAUCCCUGCAAACUGCCAAAGCAGCGGGAGGUGUGAGGCCAAGAGCAAGAUGCUUGCUGGUAAAUUUGGAGUUGCAUCCUCAUCCUUCUUCCUUUAUUGUGGCCUCUUUCCUCCACUGCCUCCUUCCCUAAGGUGUCACAUAACUUCCCCCCAACCCAACACUUGCUCGGCCUUCAGGUCGGGUGGCCUCGGUGACCUCCUUUCUGUUCUGCUUGGACACUGUGGCCACCUCUUCCAGGAACCCAGAAGAAUGAAUUUGCAAUGGGGACUUUCAGAGACACCAGUCCGGAGAGAUUCUUCCUAGAGUGGAACAGGACCUCCUUUUAUUGUUCCCAUCACCUCCCAGAAAGAGCUUCACAUGCUGAAACUCAGAACGAGGGCCUGUGUUGCAGAUUCCAUAAAGAAGACCAAAGGUACUUCCAGCGGGCAAGCCUUGGGGCUGUGAGGCACAGCUGGCCAGAGUCCGAGAGGCACAGACCAAUGAAGAAAUCUUUUUUUUUAAACUGUGCUUUAUUUAGGGCUAAGCUGGAGAAAGCGUCAUCCAAUAGUUACAGAAGGUUACAAGGAGUUUUAGGGAGUUGAGUGUGAAAAGAGCAGUUGUACUGAACUGCAGCUGUUUUCUUUUUUUUUCUUUUUUUUUUCUUUUUUGUUUUUUGUUUUUUUUUUACAUCUGGACAUCCUAAAAGGAGGAGU